GGGCGUGUAGCUCAGCGGUAGAGCGUUGCACUCACAUUGCAAAGGUCUGUGGUUCAAAUCCACACACGCCCA
Molecule: transfer RNA, 72 nt
Filed under: Candidatus Parcubacteria bacterium
Lineage: Bacteria; Candidatus Parcubacteria
Description: tRNA-Val
Rfam family: tRNA
About the family: Transfer RNA (tRNA) molecules are approximately 80 nucleotides in length. Their secondary structure includes four short double-helical elements and three loops (D, anti-codon, and T loops). Further hydrogen bonds mediate the characteristic L-shaped molecular structure. tRNAs have two regions of fundamental functional importance: the anti-codon, which is responsible for specific mRNA codon recognition, and the 3' end, to which the tRNAs corresponding amino acid is attached (by aminoacyl-tRNA synthetases). tRNAs cope with the degeneracy of the genetic code in two manners: having more than one tRNA (with a specific anti-codon) for a particular amino acid; and 'wobble' base-pairing, i.e. permitting non-standard base-pairing at the 3rd anti-codon position.
Source: RNAcentral